ACCUUCCAAGUGUCUAUACUGUGCCAGGCACGCAGUUUCACAGAUGAACCAGACGGCCCUGGCUUUCAGGACUCCUGUAGUCUCCCUUUUCCUCAGUCUCCCCUAAGAGGAACACUGGCCAGGUGGUUGAGCUUCCUGGGAAUCCAUCUGCCAUCUGUCAGCUCAGGAAGGCCAGACAGGCACCUCGGAGGUGCCUUCAGCUGCUACCAGGAUACCACUCCUCAGAAUAGCUGGAGUGUGGCCAGCCUCUGCCUUUACUUUGCAAAGAGCUCCAGGAAUGUAAGGCUUCGGUUCCUUCCCCCAGCCUUUACCAUCACAGCACCGGAGGACCCACACCAAGGCCUGGGGCCAGAGGCUCUCCUGGGACCCUCUCUGCUCUCCCUGCCCACCACGCUGGCUUCUCCCCACACUGUGCUCCCGCUCCUGGAUGAAGCCCCGAAAGGUCUGGGUCUCCAUGAAAACCUCCAGGAAGCGGCGGAGGCUCU
Long non-coding RNA from Nyctereutes procyonoides (raccoon dog), 485 nucleotides. RefSeq lists it as uncharacterized. The record is from RefSeq and is a predicted model, not a curated record. NCBI's taxonomy places the organism in Eukaryota, Metazoa, Chordata, Mammalia, Carnivora, Canidae. The transcript has 3 exons.